GCGGAGCGCGCGAACUUAACCAUUCGGCCACGGGGCCGGCCCCAAGUGCUUUCUUUUUUUUUAAAACCUCUGUCACUGGCCACCCAGGACUUAAGAGGAACUUUCCUGUAAAUAUAAAGCACAGUCUGAAAUGGGAACCAACCGCACACAGAAGCUGUGAGAGCUGCGAGCACGUCUGUGAACAUGGCAGUAGGAAGUGAGGACACUAGGGAUUCUAAUAUUUGAGUAGUCGUCAGGCCUCUAAUCAUUGCUUUCUCUUUCACCAAGCUCAGUAUCAGCAGGACUUUUUAAAAAAUUGUAGAUAUUUAAAGUUGCGCUCCUGUUCUUUUGACAUUAUGCAGAAUGGUCCUCUUUCCAUGGAGGAGAUUCAUGGGUCUUGGGGGUGAGGGCAGAGGGAUGACUGUGGCGUAGUGCAGGUGGUUUGAAUUAAAUUCUUAACGCUACUUAUCGAUGCUCUUUUUACUCCUCCUCCAUUUGAAGAUCGUGUUCAUAUCAUGCGAAUGGUUUCCAUAUUCUUCUUUUUAAAAUUAACAGUUUAGUAAAGAUUACAUGUCUCAUUAAUGAAAAUUUCCUUCCAGCGUAUAAGACACAAAUAGUCUGAUUAAAUUUUUUCCAUAUAUUCUUCAUGUUUGUCUUGAGUGUUCAAAAAUGAGAAAUAGAGCAGUUGGGGUGUACAUCGCAAAGUGUCACCAGGUUAGAAACUAAGGGCUUCGUGGUGCUGGGUAACAAAUACAUGGAUGCACUUGGUUUAUUUGUUUCUAUUCUUCAGUUCUCAUUAAGUGGAAGCCAGGAGUGUGCUCCUCCCACCUUCGUGAGCUCCCUCUCCCCACCCUUCCCGCCCAAGAUAGAAGCACAUGAACAGCCUGAAAAUAAAGCACAGGCUUUUUUUAAGCUCCUCUCUAAGCAAAAUAUCUACUAGUCCCUUCAGAAAAUGAGUUCCGUCCCCACUGGUACUCCUUAAGGUGGGAUAAAAGCAAUUUUUCUUGCUCCAUUUGUUCAGUUGUCAUGAAAUUCUACUCUUCUCUGGUAUAAAUGAUCAGAUUUGGCUAAAGCCAAGAGAAAUACAAAAGGUCAUAUUUCAGCCCCUCGUGGCCAGUUUUCAACGGGCGCUUUGGUGUGAAAGCCACGUGGCCACUGUGUUAAUGUGACGGGGUCUUAUAAAUAAAUGUUUUUCUGGCCCUGUCUCAGACAAAUCUGAAAAAGUUCUUUCUUUUCCAAACCCCAGGGAUGGCACUCAGAGGCUGUGUCUUCAGUGUCUCAGUGCCCCGUAGAGAAGAUGAUUUCCAUAUUUGAAAUUUGGGGACAAAUGAAAAUAACUCCCAUUCUUUCUUGGAAGGGUUAAUGCUCUAACCAGCCUCAGAUUGGUUCACUUGUAUCUUAAAAUUACUUUUCUGGUCACGCGCACUGAAGGUCCAAGCAUUUGUGAAAUGUCUUUUUUUCCUUUCUCCUGAUGCUGUUCCCUGUUGGCUCUCUUAAUUACACAGGGGUUGAGAAACCAAAUUAAAAUUAGGCGUGGCUGGUAAACAGUGAUCACGUUGCAUGCUUUUCGCUUUGCUUGUUGGAUUUCCUUCUCCUCCCUGUGCUGUUUGCCUCCCCACUUUUCCUUUCAAAGGAAAUAUCAUAAGCUCUUUUAGAAAUACUCACAGGAAGUGAGUAUCCAUAUGCUGGUUGCUCGCCAGCAACCAAGCAUUGACAGGUGGAGAAUGCGGCUGCAGCCUUCGCAGAUUUAUUUGAACAUUUCCACCCGAGCAGAGGAUUAAAUUCAGGGUGUACAGACCAAAGGGUUUUUGUAUACUGAGGGAGUUCUAAGGGGAAAUUGGUCAUCGCGUGUCAUCUUGAGGGACAGUGAUUCAGGGAACCGUAAUAGGGGUCAGCAAGGCACGUGGCUGCCGUCCCUGAGGUUUCUGCUCACUUCUCAGAGGGCAGGCUCCCUUCUAAAAAUUAAUGCUCCCUCCACCGCCAACAACGAUUCUUUUGCAGUGAAUCACUUCCAGAAAUGAAUAGCCACAGUUUUUUGGAAUGAACGUUGUGAAACCCCUCGUUUAUAAUGGCAGGUUUUCAGUUGGUGGUUUUAUCAGAGACAAUUUCUCAAGAUCAAAACGAAACCUCCUCUUUAAAAAGAAAGAAAGUACUCUCGAUACAGAAAGCAAAAGUAUUUCCAGUCUCCUGCUGAAGAAGUGUCCCGGAAGGUCUCGGUACCUAUAUUUAGAGACACAUGUCCAUCUAUUUGCCGGAAUGUGUGAGUUCUUGGAAUUGUGGAUUCAUUGCCGGUGGCUGGUGAUUUCCUAUGCCGAAGGUCGCUGAGUAGAAGCAGUGUUGUAUGCGGUGAGUAGGUGGUAGAUUCCGAAGAUUAAUGCUAAACCAGUGUUUAUCGUCUUUGAGUUGUGGAUUCACAGACUGCUAGCACGCUCUUAAAUACUUCUGCUUUAUAUGAUUUAAUGCAUGGAACUGCAGGACUCAGAGAAGCCUGUAAAGGGUCUUUCAGAACAUGGAUUAAUUGAGUAAUCCUCGAAUCUUUUGAAUAUCCUAGUUCUUUUCGGGAGGAAAGGAUGUUUUACAGAAGGAAGCCGUUCGUAGGGGGCUUUUAGAUGUUCAGUUACUGCUCUUCUAUAUAUUUUUUAAGAAUCACUUUAUCCUCUUGUGUGAAAGAAAGAAAUUACUACAUGGUCUCCACGGAGAAAAAGUUCUAACUCUUUAAGUGAAGAAACUUCAUCCACACGUUACUCCUAACUGGAUUUUUUUUUUUCCUCUUAAACAUUCGCAAGGGGAAACUAGCCCGUGAAGAAGACUAACCUUCUGGCGGGACCUACGAUGGGUCUCGUUCGGACCCACUGGGCUCUCCGUAGGUUGUCGGCAGCACGUUUAUCAGAGGGCAGAGAGGGGGAAUACGGUUACUGGAAACAGUGAGUGCAGUUUAAGGAAUUGUUGUCUUUCGAGAGUGGAUAAGUCGUUUGACCUACUGACUCAUUUCACAGGAAUUGGGAAAACAACGUAGUGUGGUUUUCAUUGUUAGUCCUGGAGGAUUCCAAAAUCUGUGUCUGCAAAUAAGAUGAGCUGGAGCGACGUGCUGUGCCACUUGCUGUUUCUACUUGCCUGUUCUCCUAAUCGAAGUGAACCCCUUGCUUCCAAGACAAGCCCAGCCCGUGCUCGGGGACCCUCGUGUGACUGUUCCGUGGUGAGUGUGCAUGAUGGCGAUUUCUGAUUUUCACAAGUUCUUAUUUCUAAAUGGCAUUUCAUCAAAGGAAAAGCUUUAAAGAGCAUUUUUUCCUGGCCACGUUUAUACUGUCUUUCAUAUUUACCUGUAGAAAACACUCUGGGUGUGGUGAUAAUUAUAAACAAUAACAUAACCUGUAGACAACAAUGAAAAUUAAGAGUUAAGAUAUAUUUUGAUAGAUUUUUGCAGCAUAUUGACAUGAAGGCAGUUUUGAUUUUGACAUAUUUAUGUUAAGUGAUUUUUUGUAAUGUUAUUUAAAACACAGAUAUGGAAGAUAACAGUAUAUUCUAGCAAAAAAAUAUAAUUACUCAUAGUUAAUGAAAGGGAUAUGUUUGGGGCUGGUAAAAUACUAUUUAUGUGCAGAGAAACUUUGGAUUCAUGAUGUUUUGGUUUUAAACCAAUAAGCUAAAGGUAUCAAGAGAAGAUAAAGCAAGUAUAUUGAACUUGGAUAAAAGUAGAAACAGAGAUGUUUGAAGUGACUGAUAUUUAAAGUGUUAGAUUAUUGCCUCGUAUAAUUUCAUGUAUGCUGGAUCCCCCAAAUCACACCCUCACAUUAUAUUCUUCAUUAAGGUAAAAGAUGCUUGCUGUAUAAUUAUUAUGGAAUUUCUCAUCCUCUCUGGAGAUGGCUGAGUAGAAAUUGAGUCAGUCAUGUUGGUGCUGUUUAUUCAGUUUACUGCUUCAUGUCUGAAUGCCUUACAAUUGGAGUUCUUAAUCUUUUCAGGGUGUCAGGCCCCUUUGAGAUUCUGAUGAAAGCCAUGAAUCCUUUUACCAGGCUCAUGCACAAGCAUCUGCCUGCAUUUUUGGGGCAUUGCCCCAGGGAAGCCCAUCCUCGGCCACCAGGUUCAGGGCGCCGGCCUAGAGCAAGACCCUACCGCGAUUCUGCCAUUCUCUAACCUCCCAGUAAACGCUGUGAUUUAAAAAAGGAGACAUCCCAAGUCAAAAAGAAGUCACUCUCUGUGGUUGCUAGGUGGGGGUGCAAGGCCUGAGAGGAGGAGGAAGGGUGGAGAAAAUACUUGACUACUAUUAAAUAAAUAAAGGGAAUGGUUAAUAUGACCAGAACCUCCAAACAGAUAGCCCAGCAUCCCUAAACAUUUAGCCACAUGUAUGUGUAAAGUACAUUGCGAAUUCCAGUAGACACUUAAAGAUUCAAUGUUAAACACUUGGGGAGAGUUUUCCUCAUAUAUAAUGAAAUCUUGUUUCUUUUCCAUUGUGUAUGUUACCAAAUUAGGUAGGACUGCAAAUCCUCUGAACUCCAGAAAUAUAACAAACUGGAAAAAUGAUUCUCUGUGAGCAGAAGAAAUUUGGUGGCAAUAGAUAUAAGGUAGUUUAGUUGAGUACAAAGGCAUCCCAUUUGCCCAUCAACUAAAUUUGUCAGUACUGUAAGGCUGUUGUGGAAAAAAUAGACAUGAUUCUUGGCUGUACUGAAAGGAGUAUGACAUAAAAGGGUAAGAAAAUCAGACUCAUUAUUGUGUCCAAUUUGAGUCACAUUUGAAAAAAGAUUUUGGGUAAUUGUGAAGAGCUGAUACACAAGCAACAGAAGUUAUACACCGUUCUAGCAAAGAUAAAGUACCUGAGGAUCUUAGUCCGAAAAAGGCUAAAGGAUUUCUUGCUAAUGGUCUGUGAGUAGUAAGGAUCUGAUUUAGCCUUAUAUCCUUGGGGCCUAACACACUGCCUGUUUUCAGUAAGGUGUAGAGCUUUAAAAGACUGUCCUGUGUAGGGACGUUAGUAACACUUCUCUGGUGUACUUGGCAGGAACAAUAGAUUCAAAUAAAACCAAGGAGGUAUAUCAGAACGUAAGGUAUGAAAUAAAUAAAUUUGUUGGCUGAUGAAUAAGUAAGAAAGACCAUUUCGAUUGCCAAGAUAAUAACACAGGUUAGUGGCUAGCUGAUGGAAGUGACAAAAUCUUUGGUUGAGAUCUCUUUCAAGAUGAGAAUAGGUAACUCCGUUUUAGAUAGUGGAAACGUUUAUUAAUUCAUUCAACAAACAGCGAGGGCCUAUUUUGCUAGGUGCUCACCAUCUGGUAGAGGAGGCAGAGAUACAAAAACAAAUGCACAAGGCAUGCUUAGUGCGACAGUCACAUAAAAACAGCAUGCUGUGGGACCUUGUAACACUUAACCGCCAUCCGUGAGGCUUCCUUACAGAGGCGAUGUCCGAAUUGACUCUUAAAGGACAGCCUUCAAGGAAUUAGCUAGACGAGGGGGCAGACAUCAUAGUGAGGGCUUCAGGCAGAAGGAACAGCCUAUGCAGAGGCUCAGAGCUGUGAGAUGUGACAGGGGUGGGGAAAGGAGUGAUGAGAGAAGAUGAAGCUGGAGGAGUCAUUGAUGAGAGAGGUAACUCACGCUCCAGGCCGAGCUUGCCUGAAGGUUUCCAUCUGGAAGAGGAACGUGGCCGGAUGUUCUCUUUAGAAAGAUCACACAGACUGCAGAGAAGAGAAUGAGUUAGGGGGAGAGGGAGAAGAGUGGAUAAGUCAGGCAAGACAAGGGGAUCCGGUGGAAAGCAAGCUGCUCUCAACAUCCAUGGGAGAAAUGAUGAGGGCACCAGUGGCGGUGGAUUCAAGGGAGCUUAGUGGGGUUGAAACGAGGGAAAAGGUGAAGUGAGGAUGGAGGCUUUGGUUAUGACGCCGUCUCAUUCACCGCAGAAUGAAAUCCGAGAGGAAAAACAGGUCUGAGGGGAAGAUGAGUUGGCGUGUGGACGUGUGGGAGUGCACCCUGAGCAGGCGGGACUGCGAGACGGAGUGGGUGGGGGCGGCGAGUGCGGAUGUGGGCCUUGAAAUUUGAUGAGCGACAGCAAUUCAAAGUCACUACCUGAUUGGUAGUCUUGACCUCUGCGAAGAGGGGUUUCUAAUGCAAUGGAUCACUCUUUCAGAUUUUUAACAGCGUAUUUUUAAUACUUUUCUAACUAAUCUGUAAUACAACUUCUUUUAAAACGUAGAAUAGUGUAAAGAAUAAAAAUUUUCUCUGAUCCCAUCACCCAAUGCUCUGUUAAUACUUGCUAAUAUAUUUCCUUCUAGUAUUUUCACACACACACACACACACACACACACACACGAGUUUGCAGCAUCAGGAUUGUUCUGUCUUGGCACUUUUGUAUCCCACUUUUUAAAUGAGCAUUUUUCUCCAUGUGCUUACAAGUGCUUUAAAAACACUGUUAAGGGUGCAUUAUAUUCUUGAAUUUCAGACUGUUUACUUCAAUUUUUUAAAAGCUACUUUUACAUUACAAUAAUUAUCCUUUUAAAUAUAAACCUUGGACAUAUUUUUAAUGAUUUCCCAAGGAUAGAUUUCUUGCAGUGAAUUUAAGACAGAGGAGCGAAACUUUUUAAACAUCAUUGAUACGUACUCUUUGCCAAAUUGUUUUUUGGAAAACUUGUGCCAAGUUAAUACACAUUGCAGCAAUGUAUGAAAUGCCUGUCUCACCAUUUCUUCAUUAGUACUCAGUAUUGCGUUUUAAAAAAAUCUUUAGACAAAAACAUUACAUUAUUUUUGGUUCAUUUAUUCAACAGCUAUUUAAUGAAUACCCACACUGUGCCAGGCAGGUGGCAUUUUUUAAUUGCUACCAGUAAAGUUUAACAUUUUCCUGUGUUUAUUAGUCCAUUAUUUCCUUUUAUAAAUGUUCUGUUCUUGUCCACCAUCAGCUUUUCUAUUGAGAGGUGACUGUGACUAUAAUUUAUUUGAGGUCUCUGUGUGUCUUUGUGAUAUUUGGUCAAAUACUUUUCUCAUCUUUGAUUUUUAAUUUUGCUUAUGAUUUUUUUGAGAUACAGAAACUUUACAUUUUUUCUUAGUUGGCUAAAUGAUUUUUGUCUAUUUUUUUCCUUUAUGACUUCUUUUAUUACCUUGGGCUUAGGAAUUCCUUCCCACCCAGAAACUAGAAAAUAUUCUUCUAAUUUUUUUUAAUUUCAUUUUUUACAUUAAACUCACCAAAUUAGAAGGAUUUACACAGUAAAUCCCUCAACAUUGUGUAUGGAGUCAUUUCUCUUUCCCCAGUUAAUUUUUCGUGCUUUCUUUAUUUUAUAUUUCAAGACCUUUCACUCUUACAUCCAGCUAUAGGAGUCCAUGAAUUCUGGGAAUAUUAGCAUUUGAGUUGGAGGUAAUGAUAAUACGUUCUUCCAACAUUUUAUUAUGAAAAAUCACAAGCAUACAGCAAAGUUAAAAGAAUUUUACAGCAAACCUCCCACAUAUGCUACACCAGCUAAAUUCUACAGUUAGGUCUUACCACGUUUUCCUUAAUUACCUAUGUAUUCACGUGAUAAUUUUUAAACCUCUGGAAUCAUUAUUUGAAUUCAAAAGUGGAAUACCAGACAUUUUCUCUCGUUCUCAAACCUAAUUUGUAGGUUUGAUUUCUAGGAAACCUUUAGCAGUUUAUCUUAGUACAGUAAAAUAGUGAACAUCAUAAUACAUACCAAGAGAAACUGCUUUCCAAAAUAUGUUUUCGUCAUUAAAUUUUAUGAAUAUGGUUUGAUGUUUAAGGGUUAUGAUUGUUAUUCACAUACAGUGAAUUUGUUUUUCCAACAUAAGUCCCUCUUAAGGGGUCUGUCCUCCCAUACAGGACCCUUGCUUUUUGCCCUUUUGGCUGGAACUGAAGAGUACAUUUAAGAAAGGAAUGGCAAGUCCCCACAGGAGGCACCGAGAUGCUGUAGAAUUCUGUGGUGGGUGGUCCCUGUCAGGGCUAGCGAGUGGGCUGCCUGGGUCACACUGGGCUUUGAAAGAAGACUUUUGCCAGAGUCAGGCCGCUUUCCCGAGUGGCCACCGUCACUUUCUGCCACGGGAGCCCUUAGCGUAAAGGCUGCUUUGACCAGGGUGGCCUGUCACCCCAGACCAGCCCUGCUGACGUUCAGCACUGAGUGUCCCUGGUUCACGGUGCGUGAUAGGUCAAAUAAACCUUAGCUCAAGGAGCUUAAUCACCUCUUCCCAGCCUAAAUGAUGAGCUCCCUAAAUUCCUGUGAGUUUUUGAGGCCUGUUAGCAUCCCAGCUUAGAGAUGGGUUUGCAACUGUGUCUUAACAUAACCUGACCUCCUGCGUCUGCCUGUUAGCGUGGCCCACAGUGAGCCGAAUGGGAAAAUGCAAAACCUGCCAUAAAAGAUCCACCUCUGGUCACCACUAGAAAUGACCCAUAAUUUCAUUUUUGUGCUGUUUUUUUCCCAUCCAAGCUUCCAUUUCCUGUCUGUAAAAUAAGUUGAUUUUAUUAGAUUACGUAGAAGAUUUUUUUCUUGAUACCAGAUCUGUGAUUUUAAUCUAGAACAUUGAAUGUAGGUCAAUAUCCGCCCCUUUCUCAAAUCUGGGAAGACAAUUUAUUUUUCAGCUUCUCUGAAUAAUACUUUCCAGGGUGUUGUGACCAGUGAUAAAGUUCCUCAGACUCUGGAGCUAGGGCUAGAAUUUUAAAACCAUUAGCUUCUGUGAAAGGAAUGAGAGGGCAUUCCUGAGAUCAUUCAGGGGGAAAAGCCUUACUCACAGGAAGCGUAUUAGCUGACUAGCUACUUAGUGAGCAAGUUCCCACUUCGACCUCCGGGAGUCUCAGUCUGUGGUCCAGUGUCACCUUUGUUCUAAAUUCUGCGCUCUUGGUGAAGAAUGCUGUCAUAUUUUAGAAGUCUAGCCAGCAAAUGCUUUGAAAUUCAAGGAUAGUGAUACUGAAAAAAAUUUACCAUAACCUAAAUUGAUAUUCUGGGGACAUCAGUAUUCAGAAGAGGCAUCCAUCCUAUUAGAGUGAAUGAUUUUCAGGAAAAAUAAAAAAAAGAGCCAGAGUUUUUCUCCUGCCACUGUCCCCUCUCACUUUUAAGCUCCUGCAAGAGUCAGCUUGUUGCUUCCCAAACCUGCUGUGCUGUUUCCUGUUCCCCUGCCUUUGAGAACGCAGUCCGCCACCCAUCUCCACCGUCCCCCCAUCUUACUCCACUGUCCACCUCUCCAACAGCAUCACGCUCCUGGGAAGCUGACUGAGAGGUGCUCCAUCACGUUAACCUCUCCCAGCCCCGGUGCUGCCCUCCGCUCUACCGAAACACAGAUGUUGCAGUGUUGAGUUCACAUGGCUUUCAUUAAUUAGCCAGGAGCGAGGGAGGGUGGUCACAAAGCGCAACUGUAACCUGUUAUUUUCCUUCCUGUUCACAUGUCGAGAAGACUCAUGUAAGAAUCCACUCCUGCCACCAGUCAUCUCCAUGGUGUGCGGAGGGUUUAUGAAUCAUCUUCUAAAUCCACAGCUAGUUUUAAAAUUUAGCUUCCAGGCCAGCUCUGCAGGAGAUAAGAUUGCGAGAUCAUAAACGCUGUGGAGUAAGUAUGAAGUUAUUUACCAGAUCCCAUAACGUUAGCAGUGGGAAUCCUGAGGAGGGUGACAUUAAGAAAGCUGCUUUAUCAGCUGAGUCAUACCUGGAUAGACCCUGGUGUCUCCAAAGGUGUUAACAUGCCAAGAAUAUAAAGAGCUUUAAAGUGAGUUUAAAUUAAAGCAUAAAAUAAAGUUUGGAUAUAUUCCUAGUCAGGGGGGAUAAAUAACAAGUUAGCAAGGAAAAGAAGAGAGAUUUGAGGUACAUCCGUAACUUUUAAGAUACACGUCUUGAAGAGAAACUCUGAUGAAAUAUACCAUGGUGUUACCCUCAAGGAUUAAAAAGAGGGCACAGAAACCGCGUUUCUGAGGGAUCAUGGCUGGUUUCCAGUGUGACAUUUUUAAUGUGCCGGUUUACCUGAGAGUCCUCUCAUAUGAAACUGGACUAUCACCACCGUGAAGAUAAAGUGUCAGUUAGCUGUGACCUCGUGUGUACCAAUAGUGACUAACCCAGGACUCCAGGUCACAGUGGUUGUAUUUCCCGUGGCCUCAGAGUCCUGGGGUCAGGGUUAACAGAGGUCGUUCAUUUCUGUGUUCAAGUCUCUAAUUUUUCAUUCGUGUAAACGAAGGUGAGGGCAGACCUGAUCUAACACAGGUGCAAGCGAUUAGUAACAAUGACAACAGCAGCAGGAGCUCACACUGUUAGCUGAGUGCCGUGUGCCAGGGGCUGUGCCAACGACUUUACUUGGUCAUCUGUUGUAGUAAACAAUACUAAGCGGCAGCUACUGUUAUAAUACCCAUUUUACAGAUAGAAAACUAAGGUUCGGAGAAGGUAAAUCAUUUCCCCCAAGAUGACAGAACUAGAAAGUGGAGGAGCCAGGAUUCAAAUCAAAUUUGGCUCCUAAGCGCAUGCUUUUCAUUUGUAUCCUAUUCAGUUUUCGUAAGUGACUCAUAUUUUGGAGGUAUUUUUAUCCUUUGGGGCCACUCAAUUUCAUCCAGUCCGUUCUCUCUUGCAGUGGUUUUAAUGUUUAGAGAAAGAUGGAUGCAUCCCCCACAGCUGGGCAUUUUCGUGCCAUACCUUGUUCUGGUCACCUGGUGACAGCAUGUUGUUAAUGGUGCAUGUUACCACAACCCGCCCGCGUGACUCCAGCAGCCGUGCUGGUGGUUCUAAGAAGUGUAUGUCCAGAAAAGGUCAUUAGCAAAGCAACUAUCCCAACUACUAAAAAAACAGCUUGGUGUGGCCCAUGUUGGAAUCCCCUUUCUUUUGUUACUGGAAAUGAGUAGAAGUUCAUUAACGCCGUGUCUUGCAGUAAAUUCAGGCCCAUAAUUUAAGUGUGCUGUCAGGACCCAGAAAUCUGGUGUCUUGUGAUGUGUUGCUUGGCUGACUCCAUCUGCCUCAGUCGGGGAUGCUGGUUUUCCAUUGAUGGGGCACAAAGGCUCCUCGGCCAGUGUCAUCUCUUGGCAGUCUUACCCCUAUUCGAUAGUCUCUGGUCCAGCCAGAUGAAGCUGGUUGUGCUUGCCCUCUGCAUGGAAGCUCUUUCCUUCCCUCUCUUUCUAGCCAACCACUACUGUUCCCUUCAGAUGAAACCUCCCCCAGACAGUCUUCCGUGAUUGCUCAGGACCGGGUCAGGCUCCCUUGUGUGCUUCCACAGCACACUCUGCUUACCCCUUUGUGCACACAUCAUACAAGGUUCUAAUUUCUUAUUUCUUGUCUAUCUUCCCUGAUGCACACUGGCCCCAUAAUAGCCAGGAUUGGUGGUGUUUACAUUUGGAUAAACACUCUGACGCACAAGACAGUGCCUGACACGUGGCAGACACUCAGCAAAUGUUUGAAUGAGUGAGGGUAGAAAUGACAUACUUGGUGACAAUGGAAACCAGUAUGUAAAAUGUCUAGCAUUACGUUUUAUAAGGUGCUUUCAUAUACAUCAUGUCACAGCAAUUCUGGGAAAUCGAGGUCUUGAUCCCAUUGUACAGGCCUGGAAACAUCAGCUCGCCCCAGUGCGUAUACAUGGUUAGUCAGUGGGAAAGCCAGCAUUUAAGCUUGUCUCCUGACCCCAGAUCUGUGCUCUAACAUGCCAUGUGACCAUUCCAAGGCCGGUCUGUAAAAACAGGUAUUAGAGGAUGGAGCAAAAGCAGUGCGUCAUUCUUGUCCUAACCAACUAGAUCCACAGGGAGAAUCGGCCGAUUUUCAUUUCUCUUCCUUUCCUCCUUAGCAUCCUCCUCCACCCCCCAUGGAUUUUCAGUGAAAGCUUUACACUGACGUGUGAUGAAUCCUGUCCAAGUUUCAAGGUGCUGACAGUGAAUCUUCUGUAUUCAGAGCAGGCUGCCUGCCGUCCUUCUUUUCCUGGGGGUAGAGCUUUUGGAACAGUGGAGAACUGGGAGGGUUCAGGUAAAGUCCUUGAGCAAAUCGAAUAAGUAGGAUCAUAGUAUGUGAGGGAGUGAGAAAUGAGCCGAGCGGGAGGUAUGUGUGCGCAGGCACUGAGAAAGUGAGCAGAGGACGUGUGCGGAGGGCUGGUCUGGCUGGCAAGGAAGAGGCUGGAGAGAGGUGGCUGGCUGGGAUGGGCUGUGCAGUUAAAUAGCUGAGCAGAUCUUAAUAACAGAUGGGGGUGUGGUCCACAGACCUGCAGGGGAGCAGGCUAGAGGCAAGGGGACUGGCAGCGUCUUUGGACACACAGAGCUAGAAUGAAUGACCCACCUGGAUUGCAGAGCCUGGGCUGUUUCCACGAACAGGUAGCCCAGGGAAUCCAGCAUAAUCAGAGGAGGGGGAGAGAGAUUUGGGGUAGCAUUUCCUAAACUUUAAAAAUUACAGAAUUUAAUACUCAGCCCUGCUCUGCUUUAGGUACUCCUGGCAGUGUUGUAGAGAAAUUAAUUUUGCCACCACAGUAGAACAUUAGACCAAGUUCAUAAAUCCGCUCAGCGAUGGCUUGGAGUUACAAACGUCUCCUUUUAUCCCUGGUUAUUUGCAGUAAGAAGAUAAACUAGCCUUUAUUAUCGUUCUAUUAGGUGGGGGGCAAGGUCAGAAAGAGAUGGAGAUGCGGUGAGAGGUACCUUCUACAGGACAUUUGGAGGUCAGAGCAGCUCAGGGAGGUCAGGGUUGGCUAAUGUCGUUGUUCCUUGAUUCGUUCAACAAAAAUUUCUUGAGCACCUACUGUGUGCUAAGCACUGAUUAGCACUGAGAUGAUGAUGAUGGUAGUGAUGGAAAAAACAGGCAUGAUCUCUGUCAUCAUGGAACCUGAGUAAAUGCACAGAAAAGCAGUCCAGUAAAACUCAGGUUACAUGCAUGAGGGGAAAGUGCUCGAAGAGGAACAGGGCCUCCUUUCAGUGGUUCUCUGAGAGGUGAUGUCUAAGCUUGAGAGGAAAGGUGUCGGCAGAGGAGCUGGGGUGAGGGUUCCACAUGGAGAGAAUAGCUCAUGUAAAGGCUCUGCAGGGGGAAUGAGGUUGGCCUUUGAGGGUCCAGAAGAAGGCAGGGGUGGCCCGGGGUGAGGGUGGGAGGGGUGUGGCCCCUUCAGUGUGGUCUGUCUCCGCUCUGGACGGCUUCCGUUUCCGGAGUCUCACGGAAGUUCCUGAUAACCCAUGAGGUAUCUCAGCCCAGGGCACGCCAGGCCCUUAGGUGACUCGUCCCUCAGAGGCUGCCUGCCUCUUCCCUCUUCCUGUUAUCGUCACUUGUUGAGGGAAAUAAACAAGGAUAUACAAUGAAAGCAGAUUUUAGUGGACUUGAAACCAGAAGUCAUCUCAGGUGCCGAAAAGCAUGAAAAUCUGCCCCAGGGACUCUACGAUGACUUUAAACGGAACUGGUUUUACAGCAGAUGAUCUGGCUUGUCCUGCUGUGGGUCUCACAGGCAAGGCUUGCGAGCUGAAGAGCUGGAGGUGAAUGCAGCAAGGUGGUAGCAUUCAAAACGGAAAGCCUGGUUAAUUCUGGAAAGUGAAACCCAUGUCAUUGGCUGCCGGAAGUUCUGGGGAAGUUUGUCCAUUGGAUUAAGUGGAACUGUGUCCCCGGGGGCUGUCAUCGGGCUCUCUUUCUCAUGUGGAACCUCAGGUUUGGGAAUGCUGAGCGAAUGGCAAGGUGGCCUCAGGCCAGUGCCGUCGUCCGAGCCCUGAGCCCCCUCUCCUGCUGCAGUGCCCGCAUGCCCAGCUCUCUGUUCUGCCUGCGACAUUCAGGUGGCCUGGUGGCAAGCAGGUCUGCCUGUCUGUGUGCUCUUUUAACUACCUCUCCCUUCAUUUAGAAGAAAUGAACUUUGAACUUGGGUUGGGUGGGGGCUAGAAGGAAGAGCGUGCUAAAAAGUGUUGUGUAAACACUGCGGCUCUGAUCCUUCUAAUCUCAUACUACCUGUACGGACAGGUGGACGUGGAGAAGCUGCUGGCCGGAAAGGCGGAAUUUUUCCAGGCCGUGUGUUAUGCAAUAGAGGAGCGUAUCUUUGAAGCUGCAGGAGGAGGUCAGGGCAGCUUGUCCACUCGGCAUAUUACGCAGAAGUUUCCCUUUAGAAGCUCUUAUUUGCUUGAGGAUCAUUAGAAAUUCCUGUGCCAACGUUUAGCUGGAUCUCCGGGGUGAGUUAUCACCAGUCUGUAGUUAAAGCAAGCAAUUUUUUUUUAGAGGACUCUCCUCUUAAAGUUUUCCUGAGAUGUUAGUCUGAAACAGUUACCUUCAACAGUUGUUUUUGAAUAGAAUGUUGUUCUAUCCCAGUCUGUAACCUUGUACUCAGGUCUGCGAGGGAGAAGAAAAUGAGAAUGUUGUCUCUUCAUCCAGUUACAACGUGGAGGUAGACGGCGAUUUCACAGGUCUGUGGACCAGGCCGUGCUGAGCUUGCGUCUGGGACAGUGACCAGACAGAUAAAAGGAGAAGUGAGAGAUAUUUUUAGCCUGUCAGAGCUGCUUGGAAACAUUGGUUUCUCCCCCACCCAGCAAUUCCAGCAAGGAGGGUCAGGAGUCAGAGCCUUUGCCCUGACUCGGUGUGUAGAACAUUGGCUUCUAUGUGGCACUUUAGAACAUUUGUCACGACUGGUGAGUUGCCCACCAGAUUUGAUGGUGUAGCUUUGAAACCCACACAGUUCAGCCCAAAUAUUUGACGUCACUGUGGAGGGCCUCCGAGGGGGCUCAAGGGGGCUCAUGUGUCCCACCGUGGUCCAGGGACCAGGCCCUCCCUCGGUGCAGAUUUCCUGGGCAGUUGGGGCUUGAGGACAUAGACUCUUUUUCUCUUCUCCUAUGUUGAGGGGAUUCAAGCGUGCGUUGAAGUUCGGACCUCGAGGGCCACGUGACCUGUACAGUUAGGUUCUUACAAUUUUGGGAGCUCCAAUUUAAACCACUAGCAAUGUUAAAUCAACCAAAAACUUCAGUGAGGUUGUCAAUGGAGUGCAAAUUCAGAGACGUGAUGAAAGGAAGGGAUCCUGUCAGGGACAGACUGGCUGUUAGAACCACUUGUGCAGACUAUAGGGCUUUUGUAUAUGAUAAGAAAUGUGUCAGUCAGUUUCCAUACAAGGGUGUUUACGCCUCUGUGCUGAACUUCUGCUUGGCUGGUCAUUGCUUCAACCGAGGGCCGACCUCUCCUCCUGGCCAUCUGAGCAGGCGGUGCCAAGAAGAGCACAGGAGAAAGCAGUCGGUGUUGGGAAGAAGCCUUGGGGUAGGAUCAGGAAGCCGGCUGGGUUCUUGUCUCUUUCCUCCAACGCCCCCUCCCCCGCCACAUCCAUCCCAUGUCCCCAUGCCUUAGUUUCCUCAUCCGUAAAAUGAGAACGGUGAAGUACCCAGCUCAGAGGGCUGAUGUGAGGCCUGAAUGGGUUAAUGUGUGUGAAGUGCCUGCAAGAUGGUUUGCCUUUCCUACAAUGAAUCACAGGCACUACCUUCCAGGUGAGAGGCUGGGCUCUUUCUCCCCCUCUCCAGGCUGCUUUACCUCCAAGUGGCAAAUGGUAAAUGGCCGACGUGUUCACGAGAGAGCCAGUCAGAGGGAAUAGACGGACCGAGGAAACCACCACGGCAGGGUGGGCUCUCGAGGCCCUUCCGACCAGAGUGGGGUCAGGUUGCCACCUCCUUCUCCUGAUGCUUACACAGUGGUCCUUACCUCACCAGAAAAAGCCACCACCCUUGGCCCCACCUGGGACCCGUGCUCCAGCAUCUCCCCCAGAUGACCCGUGCAGUGGAGACAAGGGGCCUCCGGUAGGCAAUGUAGCUGACCCGGAGACAGUGCCCCCACAGGCUUGCCGCAGUACCCGGCAGCAUUCACCAGUUUUCCUCCACUUUGGAGGGUCAUCGUCAGACUCACUCGUCGGGGCUGAGCUCUUUACUAGCUGGUUCUCCUUGAUGGAAACUCUCUCACUGAAACUUUCCAUUCUCAGCCUACGUCGUUUCAAACCCUCGGUGCACUUCUCUGAGGGCUCAGCUGGCUACCCCUAAAAUAGCCUGGUGAAGCUAGGCGCUCUGGUUUUCAUGCUGCUCCCCCGAAACAGCUGACACGUCAGGGCUUCUGCAGAGGUUUUCAGUGGGAGAAAGAUAUGUUUUGGGGCCAGCUCAGAGAGCUCGUGGCUCCUUUUCAGAAUUUACUUCGUGGUUUGGCCCCACGUGGUGGAGAACCCUGUCCUCUUAGGUUUGGGUGGUUCCAUCCAGUCUUCCACUGAGAAUUACAUCUUUAAAGGCCGCCUCUGGGCAUCAGAGUGGCACCUCCCUGCUAGAGACCUGGGGACUCAUGAGGGGCAUCUGCAAAGCUGACGGGGGCCAGCAGGUGAGCACUUCAGGAACAGAAAGCCAGGGUGAGGGCCGGGGAAGUUCUGCUGAUUAUCUAGCAAGUCACAGACCUGAAAUUCUGUCAGAUCCCUGGGUAGAGAGAGAACCACCCGGAAUAGAUAAUGAAGUCUGAAAUCAACUUCGCAGUGAACCAGACUGUGAGAAUGGCCACUGUUCUUUAUCACUCAAAAUUGUUAGUCCAAAAAGCUAGGAAAGGCCAGCCACUUCUGGUGGUCAAAACGAAGCCUUCCUAGUUUUCUGCAACAAACCUGGCAAUGCUCUCCCCUCCCCCCCAGGGGCUGGCCGCUAGAACGGCUGUCUGAGGCUGCCCCCUUGCGGCCAGCACCUGGCAGUGCAUGUGUGACCUGUUGCUGGAUCCUCUUUGUGAAAUAUGUUGAUUUUAAAGAUCUUCUACCAUGAGUUUUCUCAGUCCCACUCUCACUGCACGUAUCAUUCCAUCUCCAGGGCUUAAGGGCUUAACCACUCUGCUCUGGCAUCCGUCUAAUCUGCUCUUUGCUCCAUUUCGACUCCAGAGUCACUACGUUCCAGUAAGCUUUUCUUCUGAGCCUCCAGGCUGAUCUUUCUAAAACGUGGAUCUGAUAGUCUUUCCCUGACUUACAGCCCUUCAAUGGGUCCUCCUUUUCCCUGUUCCAGCCCAUCUCUCAGAAUACUCCAAGCUCAGCUCCUCUGCCCGGGGUGGCAUCUCUGCACAUGCCCUUCUCUCUCCCUCAUCUGUCUACCUGCCAACACCUGCUCCUUCCUAAGAUUCAUCUCAGAAUUCAGCCUAGAGUCCUCCAGAAAGCUGUGUCUGACAUUUCAGAGCCGCCACUCCCUCCUCACUCCUCACAGGUGCCGCCGCCUCUGGGGGACUUGCGCCUCUGCCGCAGGGACCGUGUCUUUCUGCUCUUCACUGCCAGCACCUGACACAGUAUGUGACAUGGAGUACCUGUCCCUUAAGUGUCGUUGAUUGAAAGAACUGAACGUAUUACAGGGACUCAGUACACAUCCGUUGAUUUGUUGAGACGUAGAUGCUGUGAGUGCAGAGGAGGGUGACGUGCCGGAGCAGUCCAGGGAGGCUCCGCGGAGCAGGUGGGAAAUACUAAGCUGAACAUUCAAGGUUUUGCACGUUGAAAAUGGGCAAAGAACAAAAAUACCCGAGGUGGAGGAGCUCAGCGUGUGCGACUGCUGGCAACUCCACCGCUCUGUCCACACGGCCCGGAGGCAGGGAGCCCUGGAGCCGGGGUGGAGGCGGCCUGCUAGUUGGAGCAGAGGGUUUAUUGAAAGGAGAUAGAGAGAAGGCCCUGAGGGUGGGUUGGAUUUAGGUGGUGGGAAGGCCUCAAAGGCACGUGGGUUCUUGCAGGCGGUGAGUGUCAUUAUUUUUGAAAGCUAGUGACUUGGUCAAAGUGGUGUUGAGAGUGGGAGCUGCCUUGUGGCCCUGCCUUCAUCUUCCAUCCCGGCUUUGAGGCUCCUCUGGUGACCCCAGAUGUGAAGCCCCCUCCUAUCAAAUGCCUCACCUUUAAGGGCUGGAUCUUUUGUAAACAAAGGCUUUCCUUCUGGCGCUGCCCUUGACCUGGCUCUGAGCUGUUGGUCCUUUGGGCCCAUUCAGCUCUGUCCCAUCCCUCUCUCCUCGUGACUGGUAAUGACCCGGAAGGUGGCAGCACCCACGCAGCAGGUGGCCCCAGAGCUGAGUCACCGCCCUGGGAACUGUGCCCUGGUGAGGCCGGCUCAGGCAAACUGGGGAACUCUCCACCUCACCCCGGCUCUGUGAGGCCUCUCAGUGCAACAGCCAGAGCAAAGGAAAAUGGAUUCUUUUAUGCAUCGAGCUGAUGAGAAAGUGAAAUAAAGCUAAUUGAAGAACCUAAAGGAAGUUAUCCUAAUGGUAGUCUCUAGCUGGUGUCUUUGGCAAGCACAGAGUUUUUCCUCACAAUGAUAGUUAUGGCCAUGAUUGUUUUAUUUAAACACAUGAAAAUCAUCCCUUUACACUUAUCUUUAAAAAAUGGGACGAAGAAGAUUUUAAAAUGAUGGUUUACAAUUCUGUAUGACCUUAUGAAUUCAGAGAGCCUAAGAAAUAAAAUGUUGUGGAGAGAUAUCUAAGCUGUCAAUGUUCUAGGAAAUGUGCAAAUGAGGUUUAGGGUUUUUUUUUUUAAGUGUUUUAUUAUUCAUAGAUACUCUGAGGGAGGUUGUUUUUAAAAAUUAUGAUGCUUUUAUUUCAUUCCCAGAGAAGAUAAAAAUGUAGUGUUGCUUCUGAAAGAGGGUUUUAGAAAAAAAGGUCUGGCUUGUUUACUACACCAAUGAAUAGAGAUGACCUCAGUCCGAAAAAACAAGUUAACCAUAAUAUCGCUCCUUUGCCUGGCAAAAUAAGCCUUUAUCAAGUAGCAAAAGAAGUGCAAGUCUGACCACCUAGUCAUCAUUUCAGCUGAUCAGGAUUUUCCAAAAGACAAAACAAAAAGCUCUCUCCAUUUUCACAACUGAACAAUAGCUCUUAGGAAAUACUACCAGCUUGCUCAGUUCCUAUAAGGCCGUAAAAAAAGUCUGGUGACAAUUACUCACUCAGUCGCCUGAAUGCAAUGCUGUACGUGGUUAACUCUGCUGUCGCCACUGUGAGCUUUCGAAGUUG
Non-coding RNA from Equus caballus (horse), 18782 nucleotides. Lineage: Eukaryota; Metazoa; Chordata; Mammalia; Perissodactyla; Equidae. The record is from RefSeq and is a predicted model, not a curated record.